This 619-nucleotide ribosomal RNA is filed under the name uncultured soil bacterium. Its description in RNAcentral is "bacterial SSU rRNA". It matches the Rfam family "Bacterial small subunit ribosomal RNA", at positions 33 to 669 of the family's 1533-position model. The record is from RNAcentral.
ACGCUGGCGGCGUGCUUAACACAUGCAAGUCGAACGGAAAGGCCCUUCGGGGUACUCGAGUGGCGAACGGGUGAGUAACACGUGGGUGAUCUGCCCUGCACUUUGGGAUAAGCCUGGGAAACUGGGUCUAAUACCGAAUAGGACCGCGCUCUUCAUGGGGUGUGGUGGAAAGCUCUUGCGGUGUGGGAUGGGCCCGCGGCCUAUCAGCUUGUUGGUGGGGUAAUGGCCUACCAAGGCGACGACGGGUAGCCGGCCUGAGAGGGUGACCGGCCACACUGGGACUGAGAUACGGCCCAGACUCCUACGGGAGGCAGCAGUGGGGAAUAUUGCACAAUGGGCGCAAGCCUGAUGCAGCGACGCCGCGUGAGGGAUGACGGCCUUCGGGUUGUAAACCUCUUUCAAUAGGGACGAAGCGCAAGUGACGGUACCUAUAGAAGAAGGACCGGCCAACUACGUGCCAGCAGCCGCGGUAAUACGUAGGGUCCGAGCGUUGUCCGGAAUUACUGGGCGUAAAGAGCUCGUAGGUGGUUUGUCGCGUUGUUCGUGAAAACUCACAGCUUAACUGUGGGCGUGCGGGCGAUACGGGCAGACUAGAGUACUGCAGGGGAGACUGGAAUUC